This 76-nucleotide transfer RNA is filed under the name Patescibacteria group bacterium. RNAcentral describes it as "tRNA-Phe". It matches the Rfam family "tRNA". From Rfam's summary of the family: Transfer RNA (tRNA) molecules are approximately 80 nucleotides in length. Their secondary structure includes four short double-helical elements and three loops (D, anti-codon, and T loops). Further hydrogen bonds mediate the characteristic L-shaped molecular structure. tRNAs have two regions of fundamental functional importance: the anti-codon, which is responsible for specific mRNA codon recognition, and the 3' end, to which the tRNAs corresponding amino acid is attached (by aminoacyl-tRNA synthetases). tRNAs cope with the degeneracy of the genetic code in two manners: having more than one tRNA (with a specific anti-codon) for a particular amino acid; and 'wobble' base-pairing, i.e. permitting non-standard base-pairing at the 3rd anti-codon position. The record is from RNAcentral. RNAcentral also lists the same sequence under 1 other name.
GCCGAGGUAGCUCAGUUGGUAGAGCAUAUCCCUGAAGAGGAUGGGGUCGGCGGUUCGAGCCCGCCCCUCGGCACCA